This 254-nucleotide ribosomal RNA is filed under the name uncultured bacterium. RNAcentral's name for it is "partial 16S ribosomal RNA". It matches the Rfam family "Bacterial small subunit ribosomal RNA", at positions 524 to 776 of the family's 1533-position model. The record is from RNAcentral.
UACGUAGGCAGCGAGCGUUGUUCGGAGUUACUGGGCGUAAAGGGUGUGUAGGCGGUUGUUUAAGUUUGGUGUGAAAUCUCCCGGCUCAACUGGGAGGGUGCGCCGAAUACUGAAUGACUUCGAGUGCGGGAGAGGAGAGUGGAAUUCCUGGUGUAGCGGUGAAAUGCGCAGAUAUCAGGAGGAACACCGGUGGCGAAGGCAGCUCGCUGGGACGGUACUGACGCUGAGGCGCGAAAGCGUGGGGAGCAAACAGG